AGUGAACGCUGGCGGUAGGCCUAACACAUGCAAGUCGAACGGCAGCACAGUAAGAGCUUGCUCUUACGGGUGGCGAGUGGCGGACGGGUGAGGAAUACAUCGGAAUCUACUUUUUCGUGGGGGAUAACGUAGGGAAACUUACGCUAAUACCGCAUACGACCUACGGGUGAAAGCAGGGGAUCUUCGGACCUUUCGCGAUUGAAUGAGCCGAUGUCGGAUUAGCUAGCUGGCGGGGUAAAGGCCCACCAAGGCGACGAUCCGUAGCUGGUCUGAGAGGAGGAUCAGCCACACUGGAACUGAGACACGGUCCAGACUCCUACGGGAGGCAGCAGUGGGGAAUAUUGGACAAUGGGCGAAAGCCUGAUCCAGCCAUACCGCGUGGGUGAAGAAGGCCUUCGGGUUGUAAAGCCCUUUUGUUGGGAAAGAAAAGCAGCAGGUUAAUACCACGCUGUUCUGACGGUACCCAAAGAAUAAGCACCGGCUAACUUCGUG
This 492-nucleotide ribosomal RNA is filed under the name uncultured bacterium. RNAcentral describes it as "partial 16S ribosomal RNA". It matches the Rfam family "Bacterial small subunit ribosomal RNA", at positions 29 to 507 of the family's 1533-position model. The record is from RNAcentral.